GGGUCUUAGCAAGAUGGAUUGGUGAUUUAGCUACCCUAUGUACCAGCUGGUAUUGUGGUUUGCAUGAACAAGCUACCCAUCCCAUCAAUCAAAUGUUUGCAACAGUUAUAGACAAACUUGGUGUUCCACAUGCAUUUUACUACAUCAAAAUGAGACUGCUGUGGAAAGCUGCGUUUUACCCCGAGAGCUGUAAGUCACUGAACUCCAGACUCCCCGUAACUGAAGCUGUCGUAGGUUUCUUUAACCACUCCUAGAAAUUGCAUUACUUAUAGGGAGAGAAAAAAAAAUAAAAA
Molecule: non-coding RNA, 293 nt
Organism: Phalacrocorax carbo (great cormorant)
Lineage: Eukaryota; Metazoa; Chordata; Aves; Suliformes; Phalacrocoracidae
Source: RefSeq, a predicted model, not a curated record